GCCACCAACAUCCGGCUUCUUCAAUCUCUCUAAGCUAAGUGAAAAGGUUGUGACGAGGGUGUGUAGAGCGCGGUAUAAAAUAGUUAAAAUAGAGAUAAAAUUUGUAGUUUUUUCCCGCAAGUGUGUGCAAAUCAUUUUCUAGAUAGGAGGAACACUUUAAAACAGAACCGACCAUGUCGUCGGAACAAUUUUCCCUAUGUUGGGACAACUUCCACAAGAAUAUGAGUUCUGGCAUGAACUCAUUGUUGGAGAAUGAAGACUUGGUGGACGUGACGCUUGCCGUGCAGGGAAAAUGUCUGAAAGCCCACAAAAUGGUUCUUUCUGUGUGUAGUCCCUAUUUCAAAGAACUUUUUAAAUCAAAUCCUUGUAAACACCCCAUAGUAUUUAUGAAAGACGUUAGUUACGAAGCUUUAAGUGAUCUAUUGCAAUUUAUGUAUCAAGGGGAGGUUCAAGUGAGCCAAGAAAAUUUAACCACGUUCAUUAAGACUGCCGAGGCCUUACAAAUUAAGGGGCUCACUGGAGACGGAAAUGGCUCAACUGACAGUGACGUUGUGGAAGUACCUGCAGAAAAACGUACUCCACACGUGGAGGAUUACAAGCCAGUUUCUGUACCUAGACCAAAGAAACAACAACCUCCUCCCGCCCCAAUGUCAUCCCCUUCUGUGAAGAGACAAAGACUGAGUGCUUCAACUAGUGAUACCCAACCCUUACCCCCUCCUGUUACAAAAGUGGAACCCAUUGCCCCUCCUCAACCUGUUCCUAUUUCAACACCCGAAUCUUCACCUCUACAUUUUAAGACAGAACCCUAUGAACAGUCAGUCAGCCUUCUAGAUGAGACAGGUGAUGACACUUUUAACGAAGAUACACUGGAUGAGACUGUAGGCGAUGACAAUGAAGAUUACUCUAUGAUGGAAAGUGGUAGUGGAGAAGAACCACAGGCAGGAACUAGUACUGAUGGAGCAGGCGAAGGACAAGGAUUUUAUGAAUUUAUUCGAGAUGACUCCAAAGAAUCUUUAAUACUUCAUGGACAAGUUUACCAAUUCAUAAAAGAAAACGGCGGAAUUAAAUUUUGGCAGUGUUUUAAACAACAAUGUGAGGCGAUGUGCCAAACCAAGAAUGGAAAACUUAUCGUUAGGCAAGGAUUACAUGAUCAUAGUGUGCCUAGAAAAUAUAUUGCUAAAAUGCGAGAAGAAAAGAAAAUCAUUAAGAAGAAAUUGUAGUGUUUGUUCUGUAUAACUGUAAAAAUAUACAGAGUGAGUUUUAUGUACGGAACGCCUUAAUUAUCUUGGAAACGGUUUGUAUGAUUUUUAUAGAUUUUGGUGUGUAAAGGUCUUUGAUGCGGUCGAUAUUAUGGUGCUAUUUACAUUGUUAUCAGAUCUUCCGUGUUUCUGAAAAUCUUAUGAAUUUUCUUAUUUUAAAUAGAACACCCUGUAUAUUUUCACGUAUAUUUCCUAUACCUAAAUGCCAUAAUUUCGGAGUUAUUUGCUAAAUGUACAAAAAUUUGCCGCCGGCAAAGCGGCAAGUGAGUAAGUGAGCAAGACGAUGCUGUCGUCACAUUCCAUUCCUGAGAGUCGUUCGGUAAAUGAGUUGUGAGGACAUUGGAGAGGAACUGAUGUGAACACCUCACUCGCGUCAAUAUGGUUUUUCGGGCUAUAUUUCCGGCAGCGGCAGCAGCAGUGGCGAUGGCUGAGUAUAAAUCCGGCAUUAAUGGCCAACGUUCGCAAGGGGCAGGGCACUUGAAGAAGAAGUACUUUGAAAAAACAUUUGAACAAAGUUAUAAAAAUCAAUUUUUCGAUCCAGCCAGAUAUUAUUUCAAGUUUUUCGGAACAAACAAGGUCCGUGUAAUUUUUCUCUAAAGUUGAUCGUUUUCGAGUUAUAAACAAUUUAAAACUGCAAAAAAACGAAAAACGACGAUUUUCAAGGCUCACAAGCUUCUUUCUCAUAAUCCUUAGUGCCCUUCAGGGCGUCGGAUGUCGGGUUCCGCCUUUUAUCCACUUCUUCCAAUUGCUUCUAUUGGUGGCCAGGUUCUUCAUAUCCCUCAUACUCAUGUGUCUCCUUUUACCUAUAUCCUGGAUCUGGCCCAUCCAUGUCUUCCUCGGCCUUCCCUUUUUUCUUUUGUUUUCCAUUUUGGCUUCAUGUACCUUCUUUGUAAGUCUUUUUUGCUCCAUUCGUUGUAUGUGUCCAAACCAGCUUAUCGGUUCUUGUUCCAGCUCUCUUCUUAUAUCUUCAUUUCUGAAUCUAUCAAACUUCGUAACUCCAGCUAUUCUUCUCAUGUAUUUCAUCUCGGUCGCGUUUAUCAUUGAUUCAUGUUUCUUUUGCACAAUCCAUGUUUCCGCCCCAUAUGCCAUUAGCGGAUUUACUAUGCUGUUAUAUACUCUGAGUUUAGUUUUGUUGUUUAUUUCUGAUUUUCCAAAAAUUGUAUUAUUUAAAGAGUAAUACACGUUAGUUGCCUUCUUCAGUUUAUUACUUAUUGCCAAGUCCGUUUUCCCACCAUCUGUUAUUAUAUUUCCCAAAUAUUCAAAAGUAGAUACGUGUUCUAUUACUUGUUCCCUUACUAUUAUAUUAGUAUUCCUUUUCGUUUUUCUCAUCUUCAUUUAUUAUCAUAAGUUUAGGCUCACAAGCAAAAGUAAAAAAAUAUUAUUUUUGAAAUAAUAUUGUGCCUAAAUAUAACGAAGUGCCUAAAUUAGUUCAAACCUAAUUAUAUCAGUUACCGAUAACUAUUUUGGGCUUAUUUUUAGUUGUUAAUGAAGCCCAAUCUCACGUUCUCGCAUAAGCGCUUUAUUAUAAAUUAAAAACAAUAUUUUAGAAUAAAACAGGCCAACAAUUCUUAUCGGGAGCUGAUAGAAAAAAGUUUAGAAGGAUAACAGUUUUUAUCGCCAACCGUCACCAAAGUCGUUCAUUAUUGUACUCAUUUGCCCUCAUUUGCGGCAGUAAAAUAACACUUUAUUCUACUGAAAAAAGAAGUGCUUUACCUGCCACGAUUAUUAAUCAAAUUAACCGAGAUUGAAUGUAAGUGGUCUAUGGCAGUAAUCGAUUAUUUAUUUGAGUGAACUUAAAAUUUAUUUACUUUAAUUAUUACAAAUGUACAAAAUUUACGUAAUUAUUAAUUAAAUUUAUCUCAAAAACUGAAAUUCUUAAUAUUUUGCAAUUAUAUUCAUACAAAAUAAAUGAAAACUUUAUAGAUUUAGUAAUUAUUCAAUAUUAAUAACAACUAUCGAUUAAACAUCGAAACCGGCCAUUAUGCAAAAACCAUCUGUCAUUACAGUCAUACGAAAUUUUUAUAUCGUCUAAAUUAAAAAAAAAUCUUAAAUCUUUUAAGUUAAUGCAAAUAAAGUGAGAAAUAGUGAUUUUGUUAAUUGGAUUAUAAUAUAUAGGACUGUGAUAGAUGUUUACUGAUAAUUUGGCAGUAAAUAUAUUUAUUUAGAUUUUCUACGAUUCAUCAAGGGAAAAGUAAUUGCGGGGAGGCUACAGUUCAUAAACAAUGACGUAACUGUUAACGUUAUUUUUAAUUUUUGGUAUUAUUUUAAGUAUUAAAAUUAGUUUAAUAUUUAAAUAAAAAUACCAUUUAAUUCUUUAAAAUAUAUUUAUUUCGUUGAAAUCAUAAUAAUAGAGGUAUAACUUCUUACGUGCAUAGAAAGUACACACACAUUAUUUUUUCAUUAGAAGGAUGUAAUUAAGUAAGUGUUAAGUAAGUGUUAAUGUUUUUUAUGAUUGAUAAAAUUUUGUAUGCACCACGUCAGUAAAGACUCUUCAUCGAACUCGUUUGAUAAAGAGCCACUUUACUGACUUGGUGCAUAUAUUUGUACUUUGGUACAUAUAUAACUAUUACUUGUGUUUUUGAGCCUCGAAAAUCGUAAUUUUUCGUUUUUUCCAGUUUUAAUUUGUUUAUAACUCGAAAACGAUCAAUUUUAGAGAAAAGUUAGUAGAGAAGUUUAUGUUUCGAAUGGUCCAAAAAUCUAGAAUACUAUCUACGCGGGCCUAAAAAAAUAUUUAAAAAGAAUUAUUGUUUAAGGAAAUGUAGCAAUAACUCCGAAAUUAUCGUAGUUAGGUAUAGGGAACAUUAUAUGAAAAAUAAUCAGUAUUUCUUAAGGACUUAAAAAACUGAAGAUCUGGCAACAACGUAAAUACCACCACAAUAUCGGCCGCAUCACAAGACAUACCAAAUAAUUUAUUAAUCUUGCAAACCGUUUUCGACCUAAUUGACGCGUUCCAUAUAUAAACUGUUCUGCAAAUUUUCAAUAGGAAACAAACUGAAGUGUAACAAGCUAUCGUGAGACUCAUUAAUAUUCAAUUGAGCAGGGUACUAUUGUACAAGUCAUGAUAUUCCAUAAAGAAGGAAUUUACCUGUUUUAUGGAAUGAUCCCUUGUUUGUAAUAUUUCGCACUUCGAAUAAUAAUAUCCCGCUGAACUGAAUAUUAAUGAGUCUCUUAGAUAACUUGUUAGACUAGGGACAAGGUAUUGAUAUACAUUGUUUUAGAAAAAAAUUGUUUUUCAAACAUUCCACAAACUUUCUUGUAACAUGCACAAGCAAACGAAAACAUUGUUUAAACGAAUGUUUUGCCGAAUUUGUGACAGGAAAUCUUUAUCUUAAUCUUAUUGUUAAUCUUAAUCUUCAAGUAACUUCAAGUAUGUUCGCUUUUGUUUCCUUGAUUUUUUUUUCGUAAUUUCCGUGAUACUGCAUAAAAAUUUAAAAUCCAGUACAGUAAAACCUCGAUAUAACGGACUAAUUGGGGAAAAUUGUCCGUUAAAGCCGAAAGUCCGUUAUAUAAAAAUAGGUUUAAAAUAAAUCUGACUAUUUAGACAUGUGUCCUCAUUAUGCUAUAAUAAAAAGUUUAUUGAAAUUCUUUGUAAAAUAUAGCGUUUGGAUCCACGAGGACCCCGUUUUUAUGCAAUGUAUCUUGGUAUGGGCAGGGUUAUGUAUGUAUAAUAUUAACAGGACGUUUUUAAUUUGUUUACAUUUGACCGGAUUUUUGGUCCGUUACAUCCGAAGUCCGUUAAAUAGAGGUGCGUUAUAUCGAGGUUUUACUGUAGUUGGCUCGAUACCAUAGUUUAGAAACUUACAAUGAAAUAAAAAAACCUCCAAUGCAUGAUAGAUCCGAAUGGAUUACAAUUUUUCAGAACGUUUUCGGUCCAGUUUUCAGACUAUCAUCAGUGAAACAUUCUAUUAGUACCUAGUUGAACCUAGGCCACAUUUUGGUUAAUAAAGCCUUUAAAUUGCAUUGUAAUAAUAGUAAAUUGUAUCAUUGAUAUGGCACUAGGUCGGUGUUAAAGGGAACAUAUACAGGGUGUAUCAUUAAGGAUGUCCAAUUUCUGAGUUAUAAAUUCUAGACCUCAAAAUAUUAAGAUUUAAUCCAAACCAUUUAAAUAAAAUAUGGCUCCUUACUGAGUUACAUGGUGCUCUAUUUAAAAAUUUAAAAACUAUUUUUACCCAGUACUUUAAAACUAUUUGACGUAUCCUUAUCAUACUUGGCAAAAAGUGUGGCUACUAUAAACGCUAGUAAAUUAUGAUAGAUCAACGUUUCUAGCUACUAGCUCAUGCGUACGACGGGAUAGUGAAUGGUUGACCCUUCCCAAAUUCUACGUCAAUGGGGGAAUUACUAUUUUAGCACAAUUUUUAGAUUUUCCAAUACUUUCUAUGUAAAUAAUAUACUCUUCAUUGGGACCGAUAAAGUCAAUAGUUUUCGAGAUAUUUUAAAUUAAAAAUGAAACGGCACAGCUAUUUUGAUUAACGUUCAUAUUGUGUCGCUUCAUUUUUAACUUCAGAUAUCUCGAAAACUGAUGAUUUUAUCGUUAUGAAUGAAGAGUAUAUUAUGUAUUAUAAAGUAGUUUAUACUUCAUUUACUUCAUGAAGAGUAUAUUAUUUACAUAUAAAAUAUUGGAAAAUCUAAAAAUUACACUAAACUAACAAUUCCGUCAGUGGCGUAGAAUUCGGGAAGGGUCAACCAGUCACUUUCCCCUGUCGUACGCCUCCGGUAGUAGCCGGAAACGAUUAUUUAACAUAAUUUAGUAGGUUAUGAUAAGGAUACGUUAAACAGUUUUUAAGUACAGGGUACAAAUAGUUUUUAAAUAUUUAUCAUAUCAUAAAUUAAUGGAAAUAACUGUGCCGUUUCAUUUUUAACUUCAAAUAUCUCGAAAACUAAUGACUUUAUAGCUACCAACAAAGAGUAUAUUAUUUACAUAGAAAGUAUUGUAGAAUCUACAAAUUGUGCUAAAAUAGUAAUUCCCCCAUUUUCGUAGAAUUUGGGAAGGGUUAACCAUUCACUAUGCCCUGUCGUACGCCUCUGGUAGUAGCUAGAAACGUGUAUUUAUCAUAAUUUAGUAGGGUGUAUAGUAGCCACACUUUCUGCCAAGUAUGAUAACGAUACGUCAAAUAGUUUUAAAGUACUGGGUAAAAAUACUUUUUAAAUUUUAAUAAAACACGUUGUAACUCAAUAAGGAGCCAUAUUUUGUUUAAGUGAUUUGGGUCAAAUCUUAAUAUUUUGAGGUCUAGAAUCUACAACUCAGAGAUUGGACAUUCUUAAUGAUACACCCUGUAUAUGCUCCUGCUCGAAAAAAGCGCAGUUCGCCCGAUGAGUGAUACAAACCAACAACUUAUUUGCAACACUUAGGCUCGUACAUAUAAGGGCGGUUUGUCAACGUUGACGUCGCAGUUUACCUGAAAAACCCAACCUCCGCGGUUCAAGUUAACAUAGAAACAAAUGCAGUCGCUCAACAUCGUACAUAUGCAACCACCAGUUUACCUGCGUUUAAACUGGUAAAUCGCGGCGUCGACGUUGGCAAACCGCUCUUAUAUGGGUAAAAAUCGGUGAAAAAUGGGACAUCUUGGAUUUUAAAGCACCCUAUGUAACGCACAGCCGGCACAGCUGAAUGUGGCUGAAUUUUUAUGUUUAUGCAUCACAGUGUUGCCAUGCUGUUUUUUAUAUAUUUCUUUCAUAAUUUCAAUCAAUGUUAAAUGUACCUACAAGAAUAAUAGAAUAAUAACAUUUACUUCUCCGUCAUUAUACUAGGUAUAAUGACAAAUGAGGUGUCAAAUUAAAGCUUAUAAUCCAAGGAUAGUACUAAAGGUAAGAAAUUAGACUAGAUUGUCUGUCCGUCUGUCUGUCUGACCGCGAAUAUAACUCCUCCGUCACUAUACCAGGUAGAAUGACAAAUGAGGUGUCAAAUGAAAGCUUAUAAUCCAAGGAUAGUACUGAAGGUGAGAAAUUUGACAUAGGUUGUCUGUCCGCCUGUCCGUCCGACCGCGAAUAUAACUCCUUCGUCACUAUACCAGGUAGAAUGACAAAUGAGGUGUCAAAUGAAAGCUUAUAAUACAAGGAUGGUACUAAAGGUGAGAAAUUUGACAUAGGCUGUCUGUCCGUCCGACCGCGAGUAUAACUCAUCCGUCACUAUACCAGGUAGAAUGACAAAUGAGGUGUCAACUGAAAGUUUAUAAUCCAAGGAUAGUAGUAAAGGUGAGAAAUUAGACCUAGGUUGUCUGUCUGUCUGUCCGCGAAUAUAACUCCUCCGUCACUAUACCAGGUCGGACGGACAGGCGGACAGACAGCCUAUGUCAAACUUCCCAUCUUUAGUACCAUCCUUGGAUUAUAAGCUUUCAUUUGACACCUCAUUUGUCAUUCUACCUGGUAUAAUGACGGAGGAGUUGAGUUUGCAAACAGACAGACAAGACGUACGGACGGACAGACGGACGUGGACAAUUCAAUGUUACAUUUUUUCAAAGUGAAAACAACAACAUAAUAAACUUUACUUAAUUGGUGUUUCAAAACUACUUACUUUUAACACAUUAGGUACACAAUAUUACAAGGUUUCUAGCAAGUUAAACGUCACAAUAAUUUAAAAUAAUCAAGUAAAAACCUAUAUAUACAUAACAUAUUAGAACAUACCUAAAAUACACAAAAAUGAUACAUUUCACACACAAAUAUAAUAUCACAAAAAAUUGUAACGUGAUAGUAUGAAAAAAUAGAGGAUACGGCAACGGUGUUACAUGUGACGGUCGGCCCGGGUCGGAUUCAAUGCCAAUAUCUACACAGACGUAUUAGGGUGCUUUAAUAUCCAAGAUGUCCGAAAAAUGAAUGGGUAAAGUUCAGGCGAAUAUUAGUUAAAUAUUAGUAGGCAAUACGGCAAAGAGAAUUGAUGGCGUUUUAAAAUGUAAGGGUUCUCCGCACAGUGGUAGUGCUGACUAAAUAUUUGGUCCAAUUCAUUUGUGCCAGACGUUACUUUUUCUUUUAGUUUAUUUUAUGAUUAUCAUAGUUAAAAAUAGUCUUAGAUAUUAAGAUAUUAUUGAAUAAUUGGUAAUCUCUAUUGGAAACACUAACUCUGACAAAAGGAACAAUAAAUAAAAUAAGAGUUACACACCUCGUUAUGGAAAGAUCAAUGUAGGUGCUGCCAUCAGAGAUCAAAUACGAAACCCAGAAAUAAGAAGAAGAACAGGAGUCAUGGAUAGCGAUGGCUAAAUCGGUUUGGGUCGAACAAGUUGCCAGAUUGACGGAUGAUAGAUGGACUAGAAAAGUUCUGGAAUGGCGACCAAGUCAAGAUGCAUUUGGAGGCAGACGACGAUCACGCGACUAGACGAACGGAUGAUAUAAAUCGCAUCACCACAAAUUGGAUGCAAGAAGCUUAAGAUAGAAAUAAGUGCAAUAUUUAACGGGACGCCUACGUUCAACAGUGGACAAAUACAUGUAGGCUAAUUGACGAGUGGCCCCUUUGAAAACUAUGGGGAAUUCUUACUUGCGUUUCUUCAUUGUAAUUUAAUAAGCGUGACGAGUUUCUAUGCAAGUUGUUAAAAUAUGAAAUUUGUUAUAUAAGUAUCACGUUUGAUCUGAUGCCCCCUGCUGAAAAUUUCCAGAACAACACUACGUAUAUUUAGAGAAUUAAAUAGUUAUCAGUGAUUCAUUUCGAAGUUCGUGGAUCAUUACGGAAUUUGAGGAGAAAUGGUAGUAAAUUCAGUGGCGCGCCAUUUAGACGCAAUGGCGUCUAAAUUUAUACUAUAAUUUUACGUGUACAAUUCUAUAUUGUUAUAAUUAUGCUAUUAUUUUGGGAAGCAAUAAGUAACAUUGUAUGCAACAAUUCCCUGCCAACUAUUUCGGUCUUUGAGUGUAUACCUCUUUUUGCCACAAUAGUUCUUAAUAAAAAAAUACUGUAAAGAGCAAUUUUAUAAGGUAUUAUUAUUCCGUAUUAUUUUUAAUUUUGAGAUCUUGAUUUAUGUGCAUCGUUUUAUGUCGUUAAUUUAUUGAUUUUAGUUUUAAUAAAUGUGAGUCUCAAAAUACACUGGUUGAUAUAUUAUUAUAGUAGGGGAGGAACGUAUGCUGAAUUUGCAGUUACUCGAGCGUUAUGGGGACCUAUUGGGUUGUGAUUAUUAGGUGCUAAAACCAAAAAAGGUAAGUUUUCCAUUUUAGUGGGGACUUUCCAUUGUUUAUUUAAUUUUCCAUUUCCAACAAUCGUUUUCACCGAUUAUAGUGCCAUCUAUCCAUAAUUCGAAAAAAUGUCUCGAAUAAAAGUUGCUUAUUUUUACGUAAGGAAUCCAAAUCUGCAAUAAAAAUUUGGGGCUCCUAUUUAAGAUUUUUAAGUAACCCCCCACCCCACCUCCGUGGGAGUCGUGUUUGAUACCAUUCGAUAGAUUUUCCAAAAAUUAAUAGUUAAGUGUAUUUUGCAGAUUUUCGAUCUGAUGUUCAUUUCGAGAAAUAUCGCGGGUUCGUAUUUAAAAUUUUAAAUUUACCCCCACCCCUCUCCGUGAUUGUCGUGUUUGGUAUCAUUCGAUAGAUUUUUGAAAAAUAUUGAACACGUUUUUUUAGGUUUUUGAUCUGACGUUCAUUUCGCUAAAUAUUCGCUUUUGUUUUGUGAAACUUUUUCGCACAUUUUCUUACGGCCCGCUCAAAUCGUCAAAUUUCUGAAAUAUACACUCUUGCAUGUAUACUUCGUCUAAUUUACUUACCGUUGCACGUCAUCCGCGUCAUAGACUGUGACGUCACAUGAUACCAACACGACAUAUUUAGGCGGUAGGUGUGUUUUUUUAGAAUCAUUUUGCCGAGUACACUGGAAUAACAGCCACUAGACAUAUUUUAUUAUAUACGCUUAGAUAUAAUAUUUGAAUAUUUCUAUUAAUGUUAACUUAAAGAAAUACACAAUAAUAUGUUUCAAUUUAAUUUGUAUAAAUGGAUUAUAAAGCGUUUUUAUAAAGCACAUUUGUUCGGAACACACUGAAACUGUAAUCGAACGAAGGUGAAAUUGUAGAAUAAAUUGGUAACAUUUAUUUGACAGUUGCGGUGAUGACACUUCAUAUUUGUUUAUAUUCUUUACUAUAAGUGUUUGUUUUAUUAUAUUUACUGUUUUUAUUAUUUACUUUAACGUAAGAUUAUAACUUAAUUCUUGUUCUAUAUUUUUUAAGUUUUUAUUUAUUUGCAUUGAAUAUUAAUUUGUUUUGUUGUAUAAUGCACGUUUACAAUAAUUAUGUGAUCUAUUUGAUUUAAAUGCAUUCAGGAUUUUUUUAUACUUUGGCAACUGUCAACUUAGAUCUCUGGCGUAGACAAUGACGUGCAACGGUAAGUAAAUUAGACGGACUGUACUUAACUUACCUUAUCUUAAACUGACUAUUUCGAGUUUUUGUAAGGAUAUAAUUUUUUUUCGGACUCACCUUAACGAACUCCCCGUGUUAAGAGCCAAUUUAUGGUAGAGGUACAUCUGCAGGGUACCAGGUUUCUCCCUAUAUGAUAAUCUGAAGCGCUCGAGUAACUGCAAAAAUCCCCGCUUGGGCUCCCCUACCAUUACGUAUAGUACCUACUUAAUUUGAUGAACAUUUUUAUGUAAUAGAUUAGAGUUAGAAGUUUUACUGUUAAUUUUAUUUGGAUUACCGUGUGAUGGGUACCAGGUGACGGGUCACACGUUUUUAUAACUUAUAACUCGUUUUUUAUAAGGUAAAUAAAAUCAGCUAUGUGCAAAAUCUGAAUCUUUUAAUAAUAAAGCAAUUUUAUUUAAA
Molecule: unclassified non-coding RNA, 10969 nt
Filed under: Diabrotica virgifera virgifera (western corn rootworm)
Lineage: Eukaryota; Metazoa; Arthropoda; Insecta; Coleoptera; Chrysomelidae
Description: protein tramtrack, beta isoform
Source: RNAcentral